GACGAACGCUGGCGGCGUGCUUAACACAUGCAAGUCGAACGGAAAGGCCCUGCUUUUGUGGGGUGCUCGAGUGGCGAACGGGUGAGUAACACGUGAGUAACCUGCCCUUGACUUUGGGAUAACUUCAGGAAACUGGGGCUAAUACCGGAUAGGAGCUCCUGCUGCAUGGUGGGGGUUGGAAAGUUUCGGCGGUUGGGGAUGGACUCGCGGCUUAUCAGCUUGUUGGUGGGGUAGUGGCUUACCAAGGCUUUGACGGGUAGCCGGCCUGAGAGGGUGACCGGCCACAUUGGGACUGAGAUACGGCCCAGACUACUACGGGAGGCAGCAGUGGGGAAUAUUGCACAAUGGGCGGAAGCCUGAUGCAGCAACGCCGCGGGCGGGAUGACGGCCUUCGGGUUGUAAACCGCUUUCGCCUGUGACGAAGCGUGAGUGACGGUAAUGGGUAAAGAAGCACCGGCUAACUACGUG
This 468-nucleotide ribosomal RNA is filed under the name uncultured bacterium. RNAcentral's name for it is "partial 16S ribosomal RNA". It matches the Rfam family "Bacterial small subunit ribosomal RNA", at positions 28 to 507 of the family's 1533-position model. The record is from RNAcentral.